AGUAGAACGUCAGUCUACUGACCCUCAACUUACGCUGAAUGUAAUCCACAAGAGGACAAACACUGUAUGGAAAAUGAUUCUACUUUCACCAGGAAGGAAAUGUCAUGGGCCUCCGAAUUGGGAGGGGGAAAAAAAAUCUUGCAGCAGUGCCUAUUGGAAAUUACCAGGAAUAAAUAUCUUUGUUUUCUUGAAAUAAAGUUCAAGGGCUUUUCUGGAGUGAGGGAGCAGACUGAGGGAAGAACCAGAAGGCUGCCAAAAUACAAUUGUGUGCCUUUAAAGGAAAUAACAACAAGAAUUAGGAGCGCCCUGGAGGCAAGGAAGACAAGAUGUGGUUUGGGGAUUUCAACUUCCAAGUUCAGCUGUGAGGCCUAUGGACUGAAUCUUAAGCUUUUUCUUGACAUCAGAUAUCUCCAUGUAUAUGGCAAUUCCUGCCACAGAAAUCUACUCUCAAAAAAGUCCCGGAACCCCUGAGGUCUGCUUCUGGGGAAACAAAACCACGGUAACUUUAGAAAUAUGGUAUUAAUGGGUAAAGACACCAUGGAUAUGAAGGAGAUUACCUAUGGAAGAAUAUUAAGAAGAGAAGAAGGUAAAUAAUCUUCCUUGAGGAACAUCCACAUUUAAAGGUCAGGGAGAAGAUAUAUCAGCAGAAGCAUCAGAGGGGGUUGUGGACAAACUAUUUUCAAAAACUAAGAUGUGAAGACCACUAGAAUUUGCUUAAAUGCUGUUGGAAAAAGAUAUAGCAAACAGGAGUGUGAAAAUAUAGGUAAGUGAAAAGAGGAAUAGUCACUGGUGUAAGAUUCCCAAGGGAGUAAGAUAAAAUUGAAUCCAGGUCCUGAAUGCUGGGAUAAACUUUGCAAAAUAUUUGGUAGGUUGGGUCAUAGAAAACAGAGGAAGUUCUUCUCUGAUAUUUGGAUAAUUCUGUAUUUGGAAACAACAAGAUAAUGGAUUGUCUUUCUUCCUACUUUUACCUUACUGUUUGAGUACUGGCAUGAACAAAACUCAGAACAUAAUGAAUCUCACUUAUUUCCAAGUGGGCUACUCCGUUAUUUAAAAAAACACAUCACAUGGACAUGGAGUUUGAGGAAAAUAUUUAUUCUAUUUAAUAUUAAGUUAGGCUUCCUUCCUCUAUUCAUCAAAUUGAACUGGAUAGAAUAGGAGUCCCUAAUCCAACACCUCCAACUGGAGAAACAGUCUACUGAUUCUCACAGAUCUCAUGCCCUGCUUUGUGUAGAUAAUUUUCAUAUGGAUUAUAAUGAAUAAUAUUAAUUUAAACAAUUCCCUAGAAGCCUAAAACAUUUUGUUUGAAGCUCUUCUUUGUCCAUCUAAAAAUAACAUCUGCUCUACAAGGCUACCAUCAUAAUUGAGUUCUACAUCUCCAGUCACAACUAGAACCAAAAUUACAGUGGACAUACAAUAAUUCUUUAUCUCUUGGUUCCAGAUUUUUCUCAGUUAUUUAUAUCUCUCUAUUAUGGUCUCAUGUUCCUUUCUGUUACAGAGUUUCAGUCUAUGUUGAGUCAAGCAAUUAUAGGGCUGCUUAAACUCUGGUUCAUUAGCCAUGGUCCACUAGCAUCCAUGUCAUGGCGCUAGGGUUUAAUAUGGUUAAUAGGAUCCUGGAUGAGGAAGUAGAUUGAAAAUUAACUUUAAAUUAAACAUAAAACACUAAAAAUAAUUAGAAGCAUUUAAAAAUAAAUGUUUCCAUAUAUGAGUUAGAAAAUCGGACUUUAUUUUGAUCCUAGGGGCUGCUGGCUAUAGUGAAAUGUAUAAAAAAGAGAGCGUGAUCCUAGUUUCUGUCUCUACUAUGGGUUACUUGUGAUUAACUUCAAAUAUUCCCUCCGCAAGAAGAGGCCCAGUAGAAGAAAAUGAGCUUCAGUUAUUCCAGCACAACUACUGUGAUAUUUGUAAAGAUUCAAAACCUAUAAUAAAAUGUGUAAAAGGAAACUCCAUUUGAAAUGAUUUGAAAUCUCACAUGGAAAUCUAGUUUUUUAAAUCAGAGCUUAGUCAGAGAAAAUAACAGAAUAUUGUAAUAAUUGAAUUACAAAAACAAAAAUUUUGGAAAAUAAUUUUUUCUCUCAUGUGAUGUGUGUAUGUCUAUCUAUUUAGCAAUGGUGUUAUUCCAUCAAAUGGGAUUAGAUUCAUUUUUGACUCCUGCUAAGCACCCUGUCCCCCCAACCUCAAGAUUAUGAAAGUGGAAGGGAAGGGGGAGAUAGGGAGGAAAUAUGACUUAUUUAAACUGUAUUAAAAUGCUGAAAUAAAAUGAACAUUCAAAACUCCUAUGAUUGAAUUUAAUCUUUUGUUCAACUCAUUCACUGAGGAAAUCUGUCUCCAAAUGGUUCAUAUCGUAGAAUAUGAUGACUCCAGUAACCUCUCCUAGACUCCACAUUUGCUAUAAAGACUAUCGUGGCUGAUGAUAGAUGAUGAAAUUUACUCUCAUGGUUUGCAGGGAGCCUAGUGCCAAUAAUUUAAGACUUUCCAUGAUACAUCACUAACUUUAUAUUCUAAGCAAUCACAACCUAUUUUUAUCCACCUGCUGUUUUAUGGCUUAGAAAUCACUUUAUUUGUUUGUGAUGGUAAUUUAUUAUAAAAAAGAUUUUCAAAUUACAUAUUUGCAUUGAAUUAGGGAAGGAAUUAAAAUGCUUUGCUCCACCAUUCUUGGUAAAUAAAUAUAAUCUUUUCAAUAGUUUGAAGGUUCUCAAGGAAAUGAGACUCUUGGUCACUUUUAGAGUUUUUUAUUUAUGAACAAAAUCUGUGGGAGCAUAUUCAAGUUUUAGGCAAGAGAAGCCCAGAAAUCAGUUCUUAAGUUAGUAGAGAAGGGUUGUAACUACAUAUUUGGAGGACUUUUAUCAUUUAGAAUAUGUCGUGGGUGGCUCUUUCAAAAUAUUGUCUACUAGCAGCCAUUGAAAUAAUAUUUCUCUUACUUCAGACAUCUGAUGGCUACCUUUAUAAUUUCUGCCUAUAGGAAUCUAUUAUACCUAUAUCAUUAUUUUCCUAAUUUUUCUUCAAAUAAACUCACUUUUCACUUCAAUAAAUUUACAUAAGGGAAAUUUGAUAUCACAACUAUGAAUUAAAACCAUGUUUAACAACCGUAAGUGAAAGGUAAUUAAAAAAUAAAAUCAAUCUUAUUAAUUCUAGUUAGAUACUAUUCCUAUUGAAGAAUAAAUCAUAAAAAUAGACAUUCAG
Molecule: long non-coding RNA, 3177 nt
Organism: Macaca mulatta (Rhesus monkey)
Lineage: Eukaryota; Metazoa; Chordata; Mammalia; Primates; Cercopithecidae
Source: Ensembl